GUGCACACAUACAUUCAAACUUCUUCUAGCACAUUCUUAGAACCACAUCAGCAGUUAGUUUGGUUUAGAUUUGCUAGAUGGCACUUCAGCACAGCGCAAAAUCUU
Molecule: long non-coding RNA, 105 nt
Organism: Drosophila navojoa
Lineage: Eukaryota; Metazoa; Arthropoda; Insecta; Diptera; Drosophilidae
Source: RefSeq, a predicted model, not a curated record